CCUGAACGACUUCCUUUGGGGACGUUCAAAAAGUUGCAAUCUCGUAGUGCGGGACCGUUCAAAGUCCUAAAGAAAAUCAGUUCGAAUGCGUAUGUUGUAGAUCUUCCUGAAGACUAUGGGAUUAGUGCGACAUUUAAUAUUGAAGAUUUAGUCCCAUACAAGAAAUCAACAUUCAUUCCUUCUGACCCUUUUGUUGAUACAUCCACUGUUGUUGAUUACCCUGCUCUAGCACCUGCUAGUGAGCCUCCACCUCCACAGUUUCAUGCACGCAGAGAACACAUAGAACAUAUAUUAGAUGAGCAGGUUAUACCUACCAAGAGAGGAAGCUACCAACGUUACCUUGUUCGGUGGAAAGGUCGACCCGAAUCAGAUGUGUCGUGGAUUUCGCGAGCUGAGUUGCAGCGCCUUGACCCGGAUCUUCUGGAGCAGUACGACAGCCGACCCGAUUUACACUCGACGGGGUCGAGUUUUUCUCACCCGGGAGGAGUUGAUGGGGACAUCAGCUAGGUCCCCAUUUUAUUUGCAUAUUUGCUUAUUGUUAUCUCUGGGUUUAUUUGUGUUUUAGGAUUUAUUUGGGGUUUAUUUUAUUCUGGGCUUAUUUGCAUUUUAGGGCUUAUUUAUGGGGAAUUAUUUUAUGUAAGGGGUUUAUUUUAAUUGUUCUUAUGGGGCCCUAUUUAAAGGGAACUUUAUGCUGAUUAGGGUUUUAAUGCAGAAUUAAAGACUUCCUUCCCCCACGUUUUCCUCUUCUUCUCUUCUCCUCCCUUCUCCUUCUUCUCUUCUUCUUCCUCCUUCUCUUCCCCUCUU
This 804-nucleotide long non-coding RNA is filed under the name Phoenix dactylifera (date palm). Its description in RNAcentral is "long non-coding RNA (PDAC_LNC012802)". The record is from RNAcentral. Lineage: Eukaryota; Viridiplantae; Streptophyta; Magnoliopsida; Arecales; Arecaceae.